This 1002-nucleotide ribosomal RNA is filed under the name Triticum aestivum (bread wheat). Its description in RNAcentral is "partial small subunit ribosomal RNA". The record is from RNAcentral. Lineage: Eukaryota; Viridiplantae; Streptophyta; Magnoliopsida; Poales; Poaceae.
AUGGCGGCGGCGGCGGCGGCGACGACAACCAACGGCGAGGAGGCGGCGGCGAAGGCCACCAGAGACAAAGAGGUAGCCGCCGAGGAGGCUUACCAGCGCGCGGAGUUGCUCUACCACGCCGGCAACUUCACGGGGGCGUGCCGCCACGCCCAGAGGGCCCAGCAGCUCUUCCCCGCGCUCCCAGGCGUCGCGAACGCGCUCGCCGCCUACUCCAUCCACGCCGCCGCGGCCGCUGGCCGCCCCGGCCGCCCCAACUGGAAGGACGUCCUCGCCUUGGAGAAGCAAGCCACCCCCACACGCGACACGAUCAGGAGGCAAUUCCUGCGGCUGUCUCUCCUCGUCCACCCUGACAAGAACCGCUCUGCCGCCGCCGAGGGCGCCUUCAAGAUCCUCCGCCAGGCGUGCGACACUGCCCUGAUGUUUGCCGGCGACCGGAAGGACGCCUCCGCUGCCUCGCCGCAGUCGUCCAGGCCGCGCAGCUCUGCCGCCGGCGACACCAAUGCCGACACAAACAGAAACAGGCCGCCUUCCGGCGCCGAACACAGGCCGCGCCAGUCUACCGCUGGCGACACCAAUGCUGACACAAACAGAAACAGUCCGCCUGCCGGCGCCCAACACAGGCCGCGCAGGUCUACCGCCGGCGACACCAAUGCCGACACAAACAGAAACAGUCCGCCUGCCGGCACCCAACACAGGCCGCAGAGGUCAGCCGCCGGCGACACCAACGCCGACACAAACAGAAACAGGCCCCGCAGGUCUGCUGCCGGCGACACCAAUGCCGACACAGGCAGAAACAGGCCGCCUACCGGCGCUAAAGGAGACGGACCGCGCGGGUACAAGUGGAUCUACUGCUGGCACUGCAAGCGGGAAUUCGGGCGGCAGAUAGGCCCCGUCGAGGAGCUGGUGGGCACGGCGUGCCCACGGUGCAACAUGCGGCUGAGGCCGCCGUGGGAUAGGAAGACACUGCUGGAUUUCACCGUCCUGGAAGCGUUCGCGCGCUGA